Molecule: long non-coding RNA, 1812 nt
Organism: Xiphophorus hellerii (green swordtail)
Lineage: Eukaryota; Metazoa; Chordata; Actinopteri; Cyprinodontiformes; Poeciliidae
Exons: 2
Source: RefSeq, a predicted model, not a curated record
ACAAGCCUACUGGGAGGGGCGAAACACAUAGUCAGUAUGUAAAAGGCCUCAGAGACAGUUUGACAGAGAGUUACAAAAUUGCUAUUGAACAUAGCGAAAAGACUGCCUCUUACAACAAACAGAGAUUUGACAACAAGGUGAGGGAGUCUAAGCUCGAAGUGGGAGAUCGUGUGUUAGUGAAAAAUGUAGGUCUCCGUGGUAAACACAAGAUUUCCAACAGGUGGACUGACACUGUUUACAAAGUGAUUAAACAGAUAGAAAACCUCCCUGUUUAUGUAGUAGCUCCCUUUGAUGAUGUGGGUCCAGAAAGAGUCUUGCAUAGAGACUUGUUACUACCCUGUGGUUUUCUGUCAGUUGCAAAAGAGCAACCUGAGCCCAUAACACAAACCCAAACAAGGAAGUCUAAAAGACUGCAGUCAAGUGCGACAAAAAGAGGUGCUGGACAUGAAGUUCCAGAGGAUUCGCUGCUGGACAGCGAGGAUGAAGAUGUGGAGUAUUAUUACUAUCCUCCAACAAAGAUGGUGUCUGAUGUUGGAACCCGAAACGAUGAUGAACAGGACAGAGACAUGCAAAUUGGAUCUGAAGACCAAGUGUUGGACACAAAUGAACUUGCCAGUGAGAGAACAGAAACUGACAAUACAGAACAGGACGUGACAAACGAACAUGUUUCAGUGCCAUCACUUAAUCCUGAAGCUUCACCAUUUGAGCCACAAGAGCCAAAAGAGACCAUAUCAGAAGAGCAGCAGCUCAAGGGUGAGUUAACCCAGUCACCCACACCUCGAAUGUCCAUCCAACCACCAGACCAUGUCAUAAUAGAUAUUGGCAACUCUGAAACAUCUGAAACUGUUAUCCCUAUUGGAACGGACAACCAUGAAGGGAAUGUUGAAGUAAGGAGAUCAACUAGAGAAAGAACCCAUCCCAAGAGACUCACCUACCCAUCCUUAGGAAACCCACUUGUGGUAGUUAUGCAGUCUUUACUUGGUGGCUUAGACAACGCACUACAAAUAGCCCUUGAACGUGACUUUUAUGCCCCUGUAUUUGAUGCUUAGGAGAUGUUGACAUGCAGGGACGCAUGCAAUUAAUGGGGGGGAGGAUGUAACCCACAUGUAUAUGUGUGGUACUGUUAGUGGUAUUUUAUUUCUGUAGGAUUUUGUUUUGUUAUUUAAUGUUCCCAGCAAUUUAGUUAUAUUUUCAUUUUGAGUUUUCUUGUCAUACCAGAAACCGCCAGCAGGUGGCUUGUGAGUUACACUCUGGUUUAGACAGCAGAAAACUAUUAGAAGAAGAAGAAAACCGUAGCUGGCUGUAGCACGUUGUGCGAAUUACUGCAUGCUAUAAGAUAAAUUCUUGAUUAAUUCCGGUAACGGUUAAGAGAAAAGAAGAUCCGUGACCUGAUCCCUGGCAGUAAAACACAUUUUUACUGUGAUUUUCUCUGGUGGGUUUUUUUAGAACCCCAUUCAACUUUGAAGACUGUCCAGCUGCAUAGCAUCGCAGGCCUGGAUUGGAUUGCUGAGCUCCAGGGUUCAACUCAAGACCUGGGACUGCUGGAUCCGCUGCCUACUUUGCACCGGAUAAGAUAAGAUUUUGGAUCCAAAGAAACACAUGGCCAUUUAACAAAGACUUGACUGACUGACUUAAAUUACUGAACUAAGAAAACAAAACUUCCAAAGGACGAACUGAACUAUAAGGAAUCUGAACCAAAAGAAAAUACACUGCCUGAUAAAAAAGGUGGACACUUUAUGUUGGAACAAAAAAAAAACUGUACCGUAAUAUUCUGUUUCAAGUUGUAUUAAAUAAUCUGUUCAUUCUUGAUAA